UGCGACGUAGAGGAGAGGUCGUCCUCGUCGGGCUCAUAUCCCGGAAAUCGGUGGUUCGAAUCCAUCCGUCGCAU
Molecule: transfer RNA, 74 nt
Filed under: Biquartavirus 44RR2
Lineage: Duplodnaviria; Heunggongvirae; Uroviricota; Caudoviricetes; Pantevenvirales; Straboviridae
Also listed under: 6 other names
Description: Aeromonas phage 44RR2.8t tRNA
Rfam family: tRNA
About the family: Transfer RNA (tRNA) molecules are approximately 80 nucleotides in length.
Source: Rfam by way of RNAcentral